This 253-nucleotide ribosomal RNA is filed under the name uncultured bacterium. Its description in RNAcentral is "partial 16S ribosomal RNA". It matches the Rfam family "Bacterial small subunit ribosomal RNA", at positions 524 to 776 of the family's 1533-position model. The record is from RNAcentral.
UACGUAGGUGGCAAGCGUUGUCCGGAAUUAUUGGGCGUAAAGCGCGCGCAGGCGGUCCUUUAAGUCUGAUGUGAAAGCCCACGGCUCAACCGUGGAGGGUCAUUGGAAACUGGGGGACUUGAGUACAGAAGAGAAGAGUGGAAUUCCACGUGUAGCGGUGAAAUGCGUAGAGAUGUGGAGGAACACCAGUGGCGAAGGCGGCUCACUGGCCCGGUACUGACGCUGAGGCGCGAAAGCGUGGGGAGCAAACAGG